UUUGCAUAGUAGCCGGUAUUGUAGUAUAAUGUGCAUUGUGCCAUUAGGGGCACACCGCUCACCGUGCGUACAGAUAACGUACAGACUGAUCGAUGGUAACGCUGUUUUCAUCUUUUAAUUGGCAAUGAAAUGUACCUUGCAAUGUUGUUGUGGGGCUUCUCCGCUGAAUCCUCCGAAUCUUAUUUUUUUACCGAAUAAAUCGUCUCUAAUGCAAAAUAACAUUGGAAAAAGGAUUGAGUUCCCGAUGUAUGAUAACGAAUUGGUGUGAAGUGAACCAAUUAAACACCACCACCACAGCUAUCACCUAAACAUUACUACUUAUUUGGAAGAAUUACAGAUAAAUAUUUUCUUAUUUUAAAAUUAAGUAUAUUUGUAUUUAUAUUACUUUGAAGUCUUAAAUAUUAACAUCCUCCGUUAUAUAUUUUAUACAAGAUUUGUAGAUAAAACCUAACCGGAACAUGUCUGGAACCCCCAAGUAAAAAGGUAAGUAAUUUGUGGGGGUUUUUGGUAAGUAAUCUAUUUAAAAAAAUCUUUAAUCUCAACAUCGUGUUUAAAGUCACUUUGGUUCACAUUUAGUCCGUGUACGAAAUGGUAAUGUAUUUUGGUGACCCUUUUGGUAAGUACCUACCUAAACUUUUUCAAAUGUAUACUUGUAUUAUACAUACUUACCUAAUAUACCUAUUACAUUCAUAAGUGUUUCAAAUAUAUAUGCUGCGACACCUGAAUAUUGCACAGUUGCAAAAAAAAUAUCAGGAAAUAGGUAUUGAAGUAGGUACUACCUCACGAUUCAGCCAUGACCUGCGCUAACAAGAAUGAAUGAAAUACGAGAUCUAAGCUGCAUGCUGAGAAAUACGUUAUACCAGCGAAUAUUUUUUAAACACUCUGAAAUACUUAGAUAUAGUUAUUUUUCUUAAUCAACGACUAGUAAGUACCUUCUCAUUGGAAAGUUCAUAACUUUUAUACUUUCACAAUUUUACUUUCUUUGAUCGAUUUUUUUAUACUCUUUUCUAUCUAAAUUCAAUGGCUAUAAUGCCCGCAAAAAGUUGAUAAAAUGAGUACUGGUUAAGUAUACUUAACUACUUUUCUGUAUUUUCUAAAUACCAUUAAAAUAGAUUUCCGAUUUAGAUUUUUAUCCUUAUUAUUUCAGAUAAUAGGAAGCUCAAAAUCUAGACGAACACAGAACCAUAUAGGAAUAAGAAUCGAAUAAGAAAUGUCACGAUGUGAAUUCAUAUUAAACUCUUUUAGGCAUCCUAGUUUACGCCCCUGAUGCAAUAUCGUCCCUUAGCUUACAACACCGCUCAAGUCGAAAAUUGGCGGUUUUUACAUUUCAUUGGAUGAAGAAGAAAAUAAAGGUUAAAAUAAAGUAAAUCGUCAAAAUAAGUACUUAUAAAUAAUUAUUUAUUAACCACUAACUAGAGUAUGUAUUAAGUAGCAAUAAAAAAAUCUACAGAUAUUUUAAAUAAGACAUUUUUUUUCGUCUCCUGUAAAGUUGGUAAAAAUGACUUAAGCGGUGUUGUAAGCUAAGGGACGA
Molecule: long non-coding RNA, 1531 nt
Filed under: Pectinophora gossypiella (pink bollworm)
Lineage: Eukaryota; Metazoa; Arthropoda; Insecta; Lepidoptera; Gelechiidae
Description: uncharacterized LOC126380798
Source: RNAcentral